Molecule: long non-coding RNA, 3005 nt
Filed under: Capsicum annuum
Lineage: Eukaryota; Viridiplantae; Streptophyta; Magnoliopsida; Solanales; Solanaceae
Description: long non-coding RNA (CANN_LNC015858)
Source: RNAcentral
GCAUGAUGAGGAGGGUUUGAAACUCUUAUAGAAUACGCCUAGAUGUCCUUCCAAAGGUUUGAUUAUGUGAAUUUUGGAUGAAGUAGUAUGAAUUCGUAAACAUUUGGGAAAAUACUAUUGGUUUUCGGAGAUUAUUCCUUUUCCCCAAUCUCCAUUGUCCAACACAUUUGGAAUUUUCUCAACAACAAUCCAAAUUUGUACAAGUUGUUGUUUGAAAACCCUAUCCUAAGCUUGAAUUCAAAUUUUUUCCCUACUGAAAAUCCCAAAAAUACCCCCAAUUUCUCCUAAUCCCACAUCAGUGGAGCUUAAGAGGGGACCCUAAUUUUGUUUCUAUAAAAAGAGCUCACUAUUGAGCCAAGAGAGAGUCGGGAAAAAUUUUGGGAAAGCUGGAAGAGAUAAAGAAUUUGACUCAGAGGACAAGAAAUUUCUUUAGCAGAGCUAUUAGAAAAAGAGAAAGAAAAAUAGUUUUCGAGAGGAAAAGUGAAUUUUUCUUUAGUAAAAUUUUUUUGAGAAAAGGAGUCGACGAGUCAAAUUCUUGCGGUGACUACGAUAAUUUUUGGUGGUGGUCAAGAUCCCGGCAUCAGUUUGUAAUCCCGUUUUGCUGCUCUGAAAGAGGUAAACAUGUUUUUCCAUUUUUUUCCUAUUAUCAUUUUCUUUUCUCUCUUCUUCAUCUCCUUCUGGUAUAGUUAUAAUGUUGCUUGUCUGCUGGGAGUAGCUGUAGAGGCCUCGUCGGCUGUAGGAUUUGCUUGAGCAUGUUGUUGUAGGAUCGCUUUGUAUGAGUUCACUACUCUGUGUUACUGAUGUUACUUAUCUGUGUAUGCUUAAUAACGGAUGGGUUUAUAAUUCAUUAAAUAUUAAUGUCGAUUAGUCGUAAUGUUACAAUAUGAAUUAGCAUAUAUAAAGGUUGUCGAGAUUCUGCCCCUUCUUGUUUAGUUCAUUGUUGAGAUUCGAUGAUUUCUACGGUGAAAAUUUAACUUCCAGUUUGUUUGAUGAGCAUUAAAGAAGAGUUUCUUGAAUUAUUGUUCAUCAUUUAGACCUCGAGUUCGUCUAAAUCUCAUAAUCUAGGGGCAAAUCGGCUUGUAAAACCACUGUAGUGUUGAAAUUUUAUUAAUUCUUAUGCCAGGUUUACACUUGGAUAUUGUAGUCUGACUUGCCAUACCUUCAGCUGAUUGUCUCGUUUAAGUCCUUAAACAUCAAUUUAGUAUGGUGUUUCCUUGGUUGUGAAUGGUUUUCUACCUUUUAAUAUUGUUUUUUAGUCACUAGUAGAACUUUAAUCGAUUGUAUUCACCCGUUGCAAGUUGCCGUCUGAUUCUCUGGACCUUUAAAGUCACUAAAAAUAAUACUUGUGGGUUUACAGUACGGUUGACAAUCUUAUGAAACCUCAACGAUCUUUCCUUUGACCUUUGAAAGUUCAUUUCAAGUUGGUCAAAGAGAAGGUGAGGAGGAGCUUAUAGUAUAUUCCAUCUUGGGGUGGUGAAGCCUAAAUAUCAUUUCUUGUGAAUCCGUGUGCAUACUUACAACUUUUUUGUGCUCAUGUUAGUCUUGGAAACUUGCGUCAUUUGAUAAUUAGUUAUAAGCCGAUUCUGGUCAUCGAACAUGGACAAACUUAUGGUCUUUGAACAUGUGGUUUACCAAAGGGCUAUCUAUGUCAUAUUUUCUCUCUCGUAGAAAUCAAGACUAGGAACGAGACUCGCCCUUAGCAUGGCCUGUUCUCGUUUCCUGAAGGUCUUCUCGCCUAUAACUUUAUUGGACUAUCAAUAAAGAUAAGGCCUUUACUAUUUAAAAACACUUUUAUUAUAUUUCGUGUUGUGGAUAAAUAAGGGGUCCAUUUGGAAGGUUAAUUUUCUGUUUAGAUAAAAUGUGAGGUUAUUGAAGUGUUGGAUAUUUACCCUCCUUUGUUUGAGCCUUGUUCUACGAACUUCUUUUCAUUGGCUAGUCGAUUAUAUUCAGAAAUUGUAUUUAUUCCUUUUUGUUCUAUGUGACAUCAAGCCUAAUUCACUGUUGUAUUCAUAUACUGGAAGUUUAUAUAUUUACACCUGUGGUUUCCAUGUAUGUUACAUAAUGUGAAGUUACCUUUGUUAAACUAACUUUUCAUGCUUUAUAUACAUGAUAAUAUAGUAUUCGUUUAAAUAUUAACUUUAGGACAUAUUAAUUGCUUUAUUCCUUUUCUUUCGCAUGUGGAUACUCUCGAGUCUUACAUGGACUCUUUUCCUUUCGCAUAUCUAUCAUGGGCCAAUGAGGCAUAUCCUUCGAUUCAGGACCCGGAAGAAAGUCUAAAAUGAGUUCCAAGGCAUAAGGAGACAAGGGGUCGAAAGGAGAAGAAUGGGUUAAAAUCCCAUCUUUGAAGCUGCUAAGGGACUUGAAAGUCUCAUUUGUUAUUUUAUUUAUUCUUGUCUUUAUUUAUUUUAUUUAUUUAUUCAUUCAUUUGGUCCUCGAAGCCAAAGUUGUAUUUAAUACAGAUAAAGCAAAACUCGGGCCAAAGGUUCGAAGAAUAGUUUAGGACAUGUUAUAGGUCAAAACCUAAUAUCUAGAUUAGGACAGGUAAAAUUGGGCCGGAAGCCCAAUUAGACUAGGACAGGGUGAUGGAUUUGGUUUAAGAGCCCAAAUUAUUUAUUUCUUCCCCUCUUUACCUUUUUCUACGUUGUUUGCUUGCGAACCUAGUUAAACCUCUAACUAAGUCGCUAAAAAAUUGAUUUUGCAAAAAUUUUCAAAAUACUCCUUAAUCAACUUCUUUUCAACACCAGACUUUUUCUUUUAGAAGUUAGUCAAAAGGAAAUUAUUUUUCAAAAAAUCUGGAUAACUGCAAGUUAGCAGAAAUUUUAGGUGUCUUAAAAACCUUUCUAAAAUGUUGGAAUCGCAUACAUAGAAUUUCAAAACUUAAAUGAUUUUCCUAUUUUGAAUUUUCUAAGUACUUUAUAAAGGUUUUCUUAAUUCUUUUUCAAAUAAAUUAAGUGGCGACUCUGAAAGUCAUAUUUUCGCAAAACAGAAAUGGUCACUCUGCUGGG